Molecule: ribosomal RNA, 1021 nt
Filed under: Enterococcus sp.
Lineage: Bacteria; Bacillati; Bacillota; Bacilli; Lactobacillales; Enterococcaceae
Description: bacterial SSU rRNA
Rfam family: Bacterial small subunit ribosomal RNA
Source: RNAcentral
AAAAACGAGAGUUUGAUCCUGGCUCAGGACGAACGCUGGCGGCGUGCCUAAUACAUGCAAGUCGAGCGAGCUGAACCAACAGAUUCACUUCGGUGAUGACGUUGGGAACGCGAGCGGCGGAUGGGUGAGUAACACGUGGGGAACCUGCCCCAUAGUCUGGGAUACCACUUGGAAACAGGUGCUAAUACCGGAUAAGAAAGCAGAUCGCAUGAUCAGCUUAUAAAAGGCGGCGUAAGCUGUCGCUAUGGGAUGGCCCCGCGGUGCAUUAGCUAGUUGGUAGGGUAACGGCCUACCAAGGCAAUGAUGCAUAGCCGAGUUGAGAGACUGAUCGGCCACAUUGGGACUGAGACACGGCCCAAACUCCUACGGGAGGCAGCAGUAGGGAAUCUUCCACAAUGGACGAAAGUCUGAUGGAGCAACGCCGCGUGAGUGAAGAAGGUUUUCGGAUCGUAAAGCUCUGUUGUUGGUGAAGAAGGAUAGAGGUAGUAACUGGCCUUUAUUUGACGGUAAUCAACCAGAAAGUCACGGCUAACUACGUGCCAGCAGCCGCGGUAAUACGUAGGUGGCAAGCGUUGUCCGGAUUUAUUGGGCGUAAAGCGAGCGCAGGCGGUUUCUUAAGUCUGAUGUGAAAGCCCCCGGCUCAACCGGGGAGGGUCAUUGGAAACUGGGAGACUUGAGUGCAGAAGAGGAGAGUGGAACUCCAUGUGUAGCGGUGGAAUGCGUAGAUAUAUGGAAGAACACCAGUGGCGAAGGCGGCUCUCUGGUCUGCAACUGACGCUGAGGCUCGAAAGCAUGGGUAGCGAACAGGAUUAGAUACCCUGGUAGUCCAUGCCGUAAACGAUGAGUGCUAAGUGUUGGGAGGUUUCCGCCUCUCAGUGCUGCAGCUAACGCAUUAAGCACUCCGCCUGGGGAGUACGACCGCAAGGUUGAAACUCAAAGGAAUUGACGGGGGCCCGCACAAGCGGUGGAGCAUGUGGUUUAAUUCGAAGCAACGCGAAGAACCUUACCAGGUCUUGACAUC